RNAcentral lists this long non-coding RNA (9773 nucleotides) under Nicotiana tabacum (common tobacco). Its description in RNAcentral is "long non-coding RNA (NTAB_LNC006924)". The record is from RNAcentral. Lineage: Eukaryota; Viridiplantae; Streptophyta; Magnoliopsida; Solanales; Solanaceae.
CCCAAACACCGACCCGACCCGCCUGACCCAAUAACCCAUUCCCCCCUCAUUAAAUCGCAACCCUAAAGACUUUACCCAUCAGGUCCCUACCCUGAAGAAGCUAGAAACCACGCUCCAUUCUCCUCUCAAAAGAGAUGAAACUUGACCCCUUCUCCUUCACUCUGUCAACGGCGCACCCCUCUCCAUUUUUCAACAAGAGACGAACCUUAUUGUUCUGCCUUUUGAUUUGUUUCAAGCUUAAUUUUCGAAGCUGUAGUGCUAAUGUCAAUGUUGAUGGGAAAAUUGUGAAUUUGGGUCUCUGGAAUACUGCUUAAAAUCGGCUGGGACUGACAUGGUCAUGGUUGCUGCUGUUAUUUUGUUGAAGGCUUGUAACUGGGUUUUCAUUUUUAUAGCUAUUGUUUCUUGCCUUCAUUUGACUCACUCUAGUGCUGUCUUCCGUUCGAUUUAGGUAAGUUCCGAAUCUUACUUGUAUUACAUCUGUAUUGAGUGAUUGAAUUGUUAAAUCUCUUAUGUGAUUUUACGGAUUUGCUUGAGUUUCACAAUCAAAUGUCCAGCAAUGUGUGUGGUGUUUUAAUUUGGGAAAAUACUGAAAAUAGUGAAAUAGAUUAAAAUGACACCUACAUGGGUUAAUUUCCAAUUCUUAAUUUCGGUUGGAAUACUGUUAUUGUUUGUUUGACUAUUCUAAGUUCAAUUGCAUUUUUUUAGUUUGAAACUAGGUACAGUAAAUAAAAUUCCCAUGUGAAGCCAUUUUUGAGAUAUGCGAAUUUUACUCAUAAUUUUAAACUUGGUUGAUCUUACGCAAGGCUACAUUUCUGUUGUGAGUUUAAGAAGAUUAAGGAAGCUAGUGGUGCUAUUGUGCUUACAGCUUAGGUUUGGUUUUAUUAGUUGCGCCUUUUGAGGCUUUUUGUUAAAGUCAUUGCUUUCAAUUAGCCAAUGGAGUAUUUAAACCUUGGGAUUUACUGCUUUGAAAUACAUUUGAGAUGUUUCAGUGUAUUGGGAUGUUGACUGUUAAAUCGCCUAUUGAUACAAAUUAGCAUAUAUUUUGAAUGCUUUUGGCUGUUAGUUUCAUGAUAAAAAAUGGGAGCCAUCUUUUCUCCUCCAAAAUAUGAAACCAGCGGCAGACUUUGAGAAUUGCUAAACAAAGAGAAAAAAAGCAAAUCUUAAAAAUUCCAAAGCUAAGAAGUCGUUUGCAGCAAACAAAAAAAAAGGCAAAGUUAUCAUGUAAGAUCUUUGAAGCAUACAGUUUCACAUUAGGCUACUAACAUGUACAGUAACAUCUAAUGUAAGGCAAAAAUGAAAUAAUUUUAGUAAUAUAAACAAAGUGUGUCGUCUCAUUAAGAUGCGAAAUAUGUUGUUGGGAUUAAUUAGCUUUAGAAAAAUAAUUAAUUAAUAUCGUAGUUUGCUUUAGGCGUGAUUAAUAAACUAUUGUAACUAUGGGUACAGUUCCCGUGGCAUGGGUGCCUAAUUCCAAAAUUCGGGGGUGCAUUUCAUGUAACUCGAUUAUAAUAACUUCGAAUAAGAAAAACCCUUUGAAAUAAUUUGAAGCGUGCCAUGCCAAAUAAAAUCCCUAAACUCAUGGCCCUCAUUUAAUUAAUUUUAAUCCUUUAGAAAUCGAGGUGUGCCAUUUAGCUGAAUUUUCCAUGGCCCUCGCAAACUUGAAAUGCGUAGUUGCUUUAGGCGCGCUAUUUAAAUUAAUUUCCUUAAACUCGGGUGUGCAUUUCAUGUGACCCAAAUCCAAAUCUCAACAAUGUUAAAUAAAAUGUGUCGUGGACUGCGGGUGCAUUUCAUGUAGCGUAGUUCAAGACGUGUUUUAGAUAAUGUUGAAUCUUCCUAAAAUAAGUUAAAAUGUACCAUAUGCUGAAACAUGUAUUAAAAUCAGAUAAUAGGCCAAUUAUAAUAGUUUAAGCAACCGUGCUAGAACCACGGAAUCCGGGGGUACCUAACACCUUCCCUCGGGUUAACAGAAUUCCUUAUUUAGAAUUUCUGGUUCGCAGGUUUCAAAAGGAAAGUCGAAAUUUCCUCGAUUUGGGAUUUGAAAUAAAUCGGUGACGUGAGACACCAAAUAAACUAUCCCAAGUGGAGACUCUGAAUUGAAUAAUUAAUCCUAUUUCGGAUAAUGUCACUUAAAUUGGAAAAACUCCGUUGUAUACCUCUCGAGGUUUAAAAAGGAGGUGUGACAGCUGCGAGGAAACAACAAGUAACAAAAGGAAAACAACAUAUAAAUGUAAAGAACACCAUAAUUCAAUUAUCAACAAGAAUCGAAAAUCCAAGACAAGUGCACGACAUCACCCUUCGUGCUUUUACUCUCGUCCUCACUAUAAGAAUCAAUAUAAUCUGCACGACAUCACCCUUCGUGCAUUUAUUCCCGUCCUCACCAUAAAAAAAAUCAAUAUAAUCGGUACGGCAUCUCCCUUCGUGCUUUUACCUCACAUAAUCAUGGCACGGAAUGAUCCUUCGUGAAUUGUCACUCAUAUCAUGGCACGGAAUUGUACAUCGUGCGGUACGACAUCACUCUUUGUGCAUUAACACUCUCUCACAAUAUCGGCACGGCAUCACCCUUCGUGCAUUAACACUCUCUCAUAAAUAUCAUGCACGAUAUCACCCUUCAUGCUUUAACACUCUUCCUUACCCAAAAAAUAAUCACAAAGAAAUAAGGGCAAGGGAAUCAAUAAAAUCACAAUAAAAUUUCGGCAAGGGAACAAUAGUAUAACAACAAUAUCCCGGCAAGGGAAACAAUAUCAUAAAUAAUAACGUCCCCGCAAGGGAGAUAAUAUCAAAAGCAACAACAUUCCGACAAGGGAGACAAUAUCAUAAACCUCUUCUCUUUCCCACAUUUACUUCACAACUCUAUUCACAACUUAAGCCAAUGCUCUACAAUGUUCAAUUGCCAAUAAUAUUUCCACAAAUCAUUUUACAACUUGAGCCAACGCUCUUCAAUGUUCAACUACCAAUAAUACUUCCACAAGCCUUGUUCAAUAAUCGAAAUCUUCAUAUAAAGCAUGAACAAUACGAAACAGAGUCAUAUUAACCAUAGUAUAAAAUUCAUGGGCAUGCUUGACACCAUCGUAUAGAUACUCAUCACCAUGCCUAUACGUCGUACUCAAUAAUUAAACAUAGCAAAUAAGACACGACUCCUAAUCCCUCAAGCUAAGGUUAGACCAAACACUUAUCUUGAUGCCACGAACACAAUUCAAUCCUCAACUACCGCUUUACCUCUUGUUUCCACCACCAAUUCGCUUGUAUCUAGCCACAAUUUACUCAACGAUAUCAAUAAAUGCUAAAUGAAUCAAUUCUAAUGCAUGAAAAUAGGUUUUAUAAAGAUUUCCCCAAAAUGUCAAAAAUUAACCCUAGACCCACAUGGUCAAAACCCGAAGUUCGAACCAAAACUCGAUUACCCAUGAACCCAAAUAUAUAAUUUGUUUUGAAAUCGGACCUCAAAUCGAGGUCCAAAUCCCAAAAAUUUGAAAAAACCUAAGUUCUACCAAAAAUAACAAAUUUCCCUCAUGAAAACCCUUGAUUUUGAGUUGAAAUCAUAUGAAAAAAUGUUAAAGAUUAAUGAAAACGAGUUAGAAAUGACUUACAAUCGAUUUGGAAGAGUAGCUGUCUUUGAAAAAUUGCCCAAAGGUGUUUAGGUUCUGAGAAAGUUUGAAAAAUGAGAGAUUUUCGGCUAAGUCGUGAUUUACACAGGCGCAGAUAUCGCAAUUGCGAAGCCUGGUUCGCAAAUGCAAACUCGCAAUUGUGGCCAAAGCUUCGUAAUUGCGAAGGAUGGCCUAUGUCUGCUUUCUUCGCAAAUGCGAACAAUGUUCGCAAUUGCGGUGCCUGUCAAGGUCGCAUUUGCGACAUAAGCUAAUAUGAAGGUUCCCUAUCCAGCCAGUCUUCGAAAAUGCGAGGGGUUUUUCGCAAAUGCAGGCUCGCAAUUGCGAGCCAGGCUUGCGAAGCAUGCAGAUCUGCAAUAUACCAGCAGUUUUUCCUAAGUUCAAAACACUCUGUGGCCUAUCCAAAUAUCAACCGAGCCCUCGGGGCUCCAAACCAAACAUGCACGCAAGUCCAAAAAUAUCAUAUGGACUUGCUCAUGCAAUCAAAUCAUCAAAAUAACAUCAAUAACUAUGAAUUUAGCAUCAAAAUCAAAAACAAAUCUCAUGAACUCUUAAGUUCCAAUUUUAACAACCGAUGGUCUGAUUCACGUCAUAUCAAGUCCGUUUCUUACCAAAUCUUACAGGCUCGACUUAAAUACCAUAUAAGACCUGUACCGGGCUCCAGAACUAAAAUACGGUCCCGAUACCAUCAAAUUCAAACAUAUUUAAAUUUUUGAAAACUCUUAUAAUUUCAGUCAAACAAUUUUCUUCAAAAAUUUAUUUCUCGGGCUUGGGACUUCGGAAUUCGAUUCCGGCCAUACGCCCAAGUCCAUAUUUUCCUACGGACCCUCAGGGACCGUUAAAUCACGGGUCCGGGUCCAUUUACCCAAAAUGUUGACCGAAGUCAACUUAAAUUCAUUUUAAAAGCAAAAUUUAUCAUUUUUCACAGAUUUCCACAUAAUAGCUUUUCGGAUACACGUCCGGACUACACACGUAAUCCGAGGUGAGACAAAAGGGAGGUUUUAAGGCCUCAAAAUAUAGAAUUUAUUUCUAAAAUAAGUGAUGACCUUUUGGAUAAUCACAAAAAGCAACCCUUAGGCUUUAUGGUCGAAUGAGGACUUGCUCGAACUCGAGAUAAGGUGGCCCUUGGGCUCGAUAGAUAGUCCAUGAGUGAGAAUUUUUUCUAACUUGGGUUAAGGUAGCCCUUAGGCUUUGUAUUUUUGCUUUCUUUUGUAUCUUUUUCGAGGCCACUUUGUUACGGGUUUCAGGCAUCUCCGAGCCGUGUUAAAUUGGCCGUAGCUUCUUGGUUCGGGUGUAGCCCAGUGAGCUUGCUACCCUAAGUUAUCCAGGUUUGCCUAAGAUAAUAGUCCCCGAGUGGAUAUGGUUGUGGCUUCUAAAAUUCGAGGGUUGCCUAAAAGAUCUGAUGCCCUCGACGCUCAAUAGUUUGAUAUGUUCGAGUUUUAUUUUUCGGACGGUAUUCCCCGAGUGUGGGGUGAAUAUCCGAACUUUGUUUUAGAUCGGCCCUUAGGCUCGUUUCCACAAUAGAUUGAAAGUAUUGAAUUGUAAAGUAAAAGAACUUUUUCUAAGACAUGAAAUAACUGCAAGGAAAAAUACUCCUAUUUAUUCUUGUGAAAAAUGAUUACACAUGCAUAUAUUUUUUAGCCAGGGCUCGAACAACCUAUCUGGGUACGGUUCAUUCAACCUUUUGGCCCUAUCAAGAUUCCAUCAUUUUGAAGUAAUUUCCUCGCAACAAAGUUGACAUCCAAAGGCAAUGCCCCCAGUAUUCGAGGUUUAUUGUAAGGAACCUCGAAUACUGUUAAAUGUUGUCUUUGACACCGAUUCUUGGUCGGCCUUCGAUUCUAAGUUAGCACGAUCCGUUGUUGCCUCGUUAAAAAACUUGCUGAAAAAUCCAAUUGGGACAAAAACGGUUCAAGGAAAAAAGAGUGCAAUGCGUGCUUUAAGACCUAAAGCUUUGUGUCGCUCCUUGUCGAUAACCUGCAAGUGUCUGUCGAAAAAUAGAAAGAAUUGAAAUGGGGUCGUACCUUCAUUUGGAUUUCGAAUGUUUAAUGUGACCUUCCUCAGUACCAAGUCCCCGUGAACUUUGAACUUGAUCAUUUCUCCUUUCAUUUUGUGUAGUAUUUCGCCCAAACCCCCUGCCUCUAAGGUCUUCGUUAUACGGUUGAUAUCGAUCUCUAUUAGACCUUGGUUCUCGGUUGAUAUCCCUCUUGAUUCUCUCCAUGGGCCUAUUAGUAUAAAUGGACCCAGAAGGGGUCCCCAUUUGAUCUUCCUCGACCUUGAUCUUCGAUUGAUAUCGAUUAUAUACAUCGGCCCGAGUGAAUGUUGGAUACUCGAUCAAAUUUUGCUUCAACUGCUAUGAAGCUAUAAAAUUCCGAGCAUUGAGGCAUUGAGUGAAAGCUUGAACAUCCCAAUCAUCGGUGACCGGUGGCAAAUCCAUUCUUUCCAUUUGGAAUCGAUCACGAAUUCCUUGAGCAUCUCGUUGUCCUUUUGCCUUACCUUGAAAAUGUUUGACUUUCACAUUGCAACCUUAAUGGCUCCGGUAUGUGCCUUUACAAAAGAAUUUGCAAGCAUAGAAAACGAAUCAAUAGAAUUAGGCGGUAAAUUAUGAUACCAUAUCAUGGCACCCUUCGAUAGAGUCUCCUCGAAUUUCUUCAGCAAUACAAACUCAAUUUCGUCAUCUUCCAAGUCAUAUCCUUUGAUGGCGCACGUGUAUGAGGUGACGUGUUCAUUUGGAUUAGUCGUCUCGUUAUACUUAGGAAUCUCAAGCAUACGAAACUUUUUGGGGAUUGGCUUUGGAACCGCACUUGGGGGGAAAUGUAACGACCCGACCGGUAUUUUUGAGAGUUAUAGCCCAUAUCCCCUGUUAACAACUUCCCACAUCUUUUUCUGCUAUUGCAACUUGCUGGGAGGUUUCGUUUUGGUUUUUGGAGUGUUUUAUGACACUUAGUCCCUAAAUAGAGGCUUAAGUCUUAGGAUUUGGACUGUAGUUGAAACUGUGUGAAAAUGACUCCGAAAUGAAGUUCUAUCAAUUUCGUUAGCGCCGUUGUGUGAUUUUGGGCUUUGGGGCGGAUUGGGAUUGUGUUUUGGAGGUCCGUAGCUUAUUUAGGCUUGAAAUGGCAAAAGUCAAAAUUUUGAAGAUUUGUACCGGUAGUGGAAUUUUUUAUAUCGGGGUCGGAUUCUAAUUCCGGAAGUUGGAAUAGGUCCAUAAUGUUGAAUAUGACUUGCGUGCAAAAUUUGAGGUCAUUCAGACGUUGUUUGAUAGGUUUCGGCAUCGGUUGUAGAAAUUUGAAGUUUCUAGUUGUUUAAGUUUGAAUUGGAGGGUGAUUCAUGAUUUAACGUUGUUUGAUAUUAUUUGAGGGCUCGACUAAGUUCUUAUGGUGUUUUAGGAUUGGUUGGUAUGUUUGGUUAAGGUCCCAGGGCCUCGGGUGAGUUUCGGGUGCAUAACAGAUCAAAAGUUGGAUUUGUGUUGUUGCUGAAGUCUUCUGGUAUUUGGUGUUUUCGCACCUGCGGUGGGGAGACCGCAGUUGCAGGAUCGCACGUGCGGAGUGAAGGGCGCAUAUGCGGAGUUUGGAGGCUUGACCAAUGAUCACAGGUGCGAGGGAAGUACUGCAUCUGCGAUGCCCGCAGAUGCGCCUAAGGAAUCGUAGGCAUGGAGGAGGACCGCAGAAGCGUACAGUGUUCCACAUGCCCUUGCCGCAGAUGCGGACCCAGCCCUCAUAAGUGAUUCUCGCACCUGCAAUGGAUUUCCCACAGGUACAGUUGAACGCUCGCAGAAGCAAGUUCACUUGGCAGAAAAGAGAAUUUCGAGGGUUUUAUCCCCUUUUCAAUUUUUGGAGUUGAGAGCUCGGAUAAAGGCGAUAAUUCAAGGAUUUUUAGAGAGAAUUUUGGGGUAAUGAUUCCUAACUCAUUUUUGGUUGUAUUCCAUUAAUCUAUAGUUAAUUUCAUCGUUAAAUUAAGGAAUUUGGGUGAGAGAUUUGGGGAAUUGUGGAAGUUCUUCAACGAAGUUUUUGAGUUUUGAUUGGGAUUUUGAUGUCGGAUUUGGAUAAUUUUGGUAUGAUGAACUCGUGAGUGAAUGAGUGUUCAUAUUUUGUGACCUUUACCUAAUUUUGAGACGUGGGCCCGGGGAGGCUUUUUGAGCGGUUUUCCAAUUUCUUGCUUUAACUUUGAUUUCAUUAGCUAGAUUAGUUCUUUGUAGUUAUAUUUAUGAUAUGUAAUUGAUUUUGGCUAGAUUUGGGCCACUCGAAGCUGGAUGUUCGUGGAAAAGGCAUUGUGACUGAUUGGUCGAUAUUUUAGAUAAUGUUGUGUACCAUAUAUUUGCUCAUGUUCUAUGCAUACAAGAUAACAGGAGCUCAAUGCACAUUGUCGUGAAAUGAAGAUUGUUCUUUUGCAGCAACAAGAAAGUAACUAUCGUUUACCGGUCAUCCUUGUUCAUUAGUGGUUGGGGAGUUCUCUCCAGACUACUAGGUCAAGGGUUCAAUACUGGUACAAACAAUCUCAUAGAAAGUAACUCUCGUUUUAAUUGGUGUUUGUAUAUGACCGUGCUCGAGGACAGUCAUAUGUCUUGCACCUUACCAUAUGCCCCGCUUUUACUAGUCGUGAAUAUCGACAGAUCAGUAGGGUGUUAGUCUAAUUUCAUUUCUAUUGUUAAAAUUUCAGGAAGUAAAAGUAAAAGUUGUUAUAUUAAGAACAAUUGAUCCAUCUACUGAUUCUUGCAUGCCUCUUGGUGAUGAAGCAUGACAUUCCCCUUAUUUAUCUUCAUGUCAAUAUGUUAAUUUUCUCUGUAUGUGUAUAAAGCAAGGGUCCAUUCAUGUCCCAUGUUAAGUCCAAGUGCACCAAUCCCAGCCGAUGUGGGAAACCAGCACCCCUCGCACGUCCACGACCGGACAACUGGAGCGUGGACUAUAUAAGAUGGGGGCCCAAUAUCGGGUGAACAAAGAAAUGGGAUGGGCCUGGCUUUGAUACCAUCUUGAAUUGUGUGAUCAUCUCAUCUAAAAGCUUAAGCUGUUAGAGAGAGCACAGUUUUAUUUACUUAAUUAUGUCUUCAACAUAUAUAUUCUAAAAUUAGUCUUAAUGAUUAGCAGGAUUUCCUAACAGGCAGCCGCUUUCUUCAGGACUAAUUUUGGUGCUUUCAUUGCUGCUAAUAGCUAAUUCUAAAUUUUCUUCUGGAGUAUGUUAUUAUCCUUUGACAUGAGCUGAGUGAAUUUGUAGGAUAGAUUUUAGGAAGCAAAUUUAGCUACCAUGAUCAUGAGACUAAUCUAGGAGUACUAAAGACCAUGGUAAUAUAGGGGAAAGAGAUCUGAAAUAAGCUUUGUUUAAGAGGACCCUGCUCUUCUGAGAUGGAUAAAACUGCAGCUUUUGUCAUCUGCAGUUUGUAUAGCUUGACUUUUUCUUAGAAUUCUUUAUUCAUUCUGCUUUAUCUUUCAAAAUUUUGAUGUUAUAGAAGUUUACAAAUCACCAAGUGAGAAAUGAAAAGUAUUUAAUGCAUUUCUAGUGUAACUCUAUCUGUUAUGUCAUCAACCAUCUAUUUUUAUACUUUGGAACUUUGACCUUUUAGUGUAGUGAAGCAAUUCAAGCAAGGAAUAGCUAAUCCUUGUAGGAAAAAAAUGUCAAGAGCUCGUCACACUUGCAUUGACUUAUAUUUUGGUUCUAUUUGUUGAUUUGCGUCUUUCUAAGCCCACAAUAUCAAGAGUUCAACACAGGUGCAAUGACUUGUACUGUGGUUCCAUUUGUUGUUAUGCAUCUUUCUGAGCCAUUAAAUUGAGGAUGCAAGGUAGAUUUGAGGCGUAGGCCAAGGUAACUUAUUGUACAUUAGUGAAACAAUAUGAAGGAAAACAAAAAAGAAUCCAAGAGGUGCGCAUAUGUAAAGCUUCCAGCUCUAAAUCAACUUAAUGCCCCACAUUUUUGCAGCAUAAUUUGUUGCACAUGGAUCAGCAUGAGAAUUGCUUGUGACUUAUUCUGAACUUUUAUUCUUAACUAGGUAUACCUACUUGAAGUUGCACCGCCCUGCUGUCUAGACAUUGAAAAAUUAAUUUUUUUCCAUAUUCAAUGCUUAAUUUUGAAUGGAAGUGCCUGUUAAAUGUCUUAACUGUAGUUGUUAGGUAACCGGAGCUUGUCUUUAUUUUGUUAAGCAAGACAAACAGUUGCUAAUGGAAGUAAUUUUUGCUACAAAUUAUACAUAAG